Molecule: ribosomal RNA, 468 nt
Filed under: uncultured bacterium
Lineage: Bacteria
Description: partial 16S ribosomal RNA
Rfam family: Bacterial small subunit ribosomal RNA
Source: RNAcentral
GACGAACGCUGGCGGCGUGCUUAACACAUGCAAGUCGAACGGAAAGGCCCUGCUUUUGUGGGGUGCUCGAGUGGCGAACGGGUGAGUAACACGUGAGUAACCUGCCCUUGACUUUGUGAUAACUUCAGGAAACUGGGGCUAAUACCGGAUAGGAGCUCCUGCUGCAUGGUGGGGGUUGGAAAGUUUCGGCGGUUGGGGAUGGACUCGCGGCUUAUCAGCUUGUUGGUGGGGUAGGGGCUUACCAAGGCUUUGACGGGUAGCCGGCCUGAGAGGGUGACCGGGCACAAUGGGACUGAGAUACGGACCAGAAUGGUACGGGAGGCAGCAGGGGGGAAUAUUGCACAAUGGGCGGAAGCCAGAUGCAGAAACGCCGCGUGCGGGAUGACGGCCUUCGGGUUGUAAACAGAUUUCGACUGUGACGAAGCGUGAGUGACGGUAAUGGGUAAAGAAGCAACGGCUAACUACGUG